This is a long non-coding RNA of Symphalangus syndactylus (siamang), 587 nucleotides long. RefSeq lists it as uncharacterized. The record is from RefSeq and is a predicted model, not a curated record. NCBI's taxonomy places the organism in Eukaryota, Metazoa, Chordata, Mammalia, Primates, Hylobatidae.
CGUGCCCGGAACCUCCGCGUCUGAAACCUCUCUGCUCCUGAAUCUCUCCUCCCCGCAUUCACUCUUGACAGCCCUGACCCUGGAAUCUGCACCCCACCUCCAGUUCCAUCCUUGGUGGGGGUGCAGUGGCGAGCUCACUCAGCAUUUCCUGGUCCCUGGCCUCCCCCUCUCCACCCCCAGUGGCUCAGCGGGAUGUCUCCAGGCACCCCCCACCUGGGCUUGGCCCUCUGCUUGGGGCGGAGCUUCCAGGACGUGCUGGGACCUAGAUCUGACCCCGCCCAAGCUGGAGUUGAACCCACUGUGAACUUUCAGGCAUCAGGACCCAAAAAAGGGCCUAGAAAAUAGGGUUUGUGACCAACUCAGUUUACCACUGGAGGCUAUAUGAGCAAACAGAAAACUGUUCUGGUGAAAGCAAGAUGUUGGAAAACUGACAACUGCAUCUGCCACCAGAAAAGGUGCUGAGGGCAGUCACGCCUCAAGCGCAGUGUUCCUUGUGAUUAUCCAAAAGAACAUCUGAAGCCUGUUGUACAAAGAAAGCAAUUAUAUGUACCUGUGAUAAAUCAAACAGUUGAUCAACCGUUACCUCU